RNAcentral lists this ribosomal RNA (253 nucleotides) under uncultured bacterium. Its description in RNAcentral is "partial 16S ribosomal RNA". It matches the Rfam family "Bacterial small subunit ribosomal RNA", at positions 524 to 776 of the family's 1533-position model. The record is from RNAcentral.
GCCGAACCAUCCAAACGUUAUUCGGAAUUACUGGGCUUAAAGGGUGCGUAGGCUGCGCAGAAAGUUGGGUGUGAAAUCCCUCGGCUUAACCGAGGAACUGCGCCCAAAACUACUGUGCUUGAGGGAGACAGAGGUGAGCGGAACUUAGGGUGGAGCGGUGAAAUGCGUUGAUAUCCUAAGGAACACCCGUGGCGAAAGCGGCUCACUGGGUCUCUUCUGACGCUGAUGCACGAAAGCUAGGGGAGCGAACGGG